Salarias fasciatus (jewelled blenny) is the source of this 237-nucleotide long non-coding RNA. RefSeq lists it as uncharacterized. Lineage: Eukaryota; Metazoa; Chordata; Actinopteri; Blenniiformes; Blenniidae. The transcript is spliced from 3 exons. The record is from RefSeq and is a predicted model, not a curated record.
GGAGACCUCCUUGUCUCAGCUGACGCGUUGUGGCUCCUAACUCUCUGCUCCUUGUUCCCUGCCGACUCUUCCUGGUUUGUUUCUCUUCCUGGUUCCCUGAGGAGACCUCCUUGUCUCAGCUGACGCGUUGUGGCUCCUAACUCUCUGCUCCUUGUUCCCUGCCGACUCUUCCUGGUUUGUUUCUCUCCCGGGUUCCCUGCGGAGACCUCCUGGUCUCAGCUGACUGGUUGUGGCUCC